AGGGGGAUCUGCACGAGUAGCUGAGCUGAGCUGGGAGCGUCCAUCAGAGGCUACAUGCAGGGGCCCGUACAGCCUUGUGAUUGGGGCAGACCUUGUUUAUGCAGCAGGAGAUGUCCAGCCUCUGUUGACCACUCUAAGUACUGUACGGCGUUUGAAUCCUGCUUGCGUGUUGCUUAUGGCGCAUUGUGCACGGAGCAACGCAGUGGAUGAGCGUCUAUCUGAGGGGAUGCGCAGUGACGGCUUGAAACUUGCUUUAGUGGCAGCCAGCGAAAAGGACAAACGCGUGAAAGUGUUUCACAGAAGAGAUUUUUAAUAUUUGAGGUGAUUUGAUAGGCCUGCUGCGAGCAUAUUAUGCCACCUGUUGAUAUCCGUCGAUUACCAUA
Molecule: long non-coding RNA, 383 nt
Filed under: Coccomyxa subellipsoidea
Lineage: Eukaryota; Viridiplantae; Chlorophyta; Trebouxiophyceae; Coccomyxaceae
Description: long non-coding RNA (CSUB_LNC000674)
Source: RNAcentral